This 464-nucleotide ribosomal RNA is filed under the name Vreelandella stevensii. RNAcentral describes it as "partial 16S ribosomal RNA". It matches the Rfam family "Bacterial small subunit ribosomal RNA", at positions 338 to 795 of the family's 1533-position model. Lineage: Bacteria; Pseudomonadati; Pseudomonadota; Gammaproteobacteria; Oceanospirillales; Halomonadaceae. The record is from RNAcentral.
UCUACGGCGGCUGCAGUGGGGAAUAUUGGACAAUGGGCGAAAGCCUGAUCCAGCCAUGCCGCGUGUGUGAAGAAGGCCUUCGGGUUGUAAAGCACUUUCAGUGGGGAAGAAAGCCUUGGGGCUAAUACCCUCGAGGAAGGACAUCACCCACAGAAGAAGCACCGGCUAACUCCGUGCCAGCAGCCGCGGUAAUACGGAGGGUGCGAGCGUUAAUCGGAAUUACUGGGCGUAAAGCGCGCGUAGGCGGUCUGAUAAGCCGGUUGUGAAAGCCCCGGGCUCAACCUGGGAACGGCAUCCGGAAAUGUCAGGCGAGAGGGCAGGAGAGGAAGGUAGAAUCCCGGGUGUAGCGGUGAAAUGCGUAGAGAUCGGGAGGAAUACCAGUGGCGAAGGCGGCCUUCUGGACUGACACUGACGCUGAGGUGCGAAAGCGUGGGUAGCAAACAGGAUUAGAUACCCCAGUAGUC